This 784-nucleotide non-coding RNA is filed under the name Grypocephalus pallipectus. The record is from RNAcentral. Lineage: Eukaryota; Metazoa; Arthropoda; Insecta; Hemiptera; Alydidae.
AUUAGGUUUGAUUCUGGUCUUUGAAAUUAGCUUUAUUUAUAAUAUUAUAUAUAAAUUUUUGUGUGAAUUAUUUUUCUAAAUGAUUAAUUGAUUUCUUUAAUUUUAGUUUUUAAUUUUAGUUUUAAUAGUUUGUAUAUCUACAAAUCUAGUUAUUAUUUAAUUUGAAUAGUAAAAUGUUGUGCCAGCAUUCGCGGUUACACAAUUUAUUCUAGUUAAUUUAUUUUGAUUAAUAUUUUUUAUUUAUGUUAAAGAUUAAUUUUUUUCUGUUAGGUGAAAUUUUAGUUUAUAUAUAAUCUUUUGGUUUAUUAUUAUAUGAAAUUCAGGAUUUAAACUAGGAUUAGAUACCCUAUUAUACUGAAUGUAAAUUUGAAUCAUGUUAUUAUUAGUUAAGAUCUUUAAAAUAAAAGGAUUUGGCGGUAAUUUAGUCUUUUUAGAGGAACCUGUUUAGUAAUCGAUGAUCCACGUUGGAUUUUACUUUUAUUUUUUGUUUGUAUAUCUCUGUCGUUGAAUGUUUUUUUAGGAUAUUUUCUAAUUUUUAUUAAUGUAAUUUAUGUCAGGUCAAGGUGCAGCAAUAUAAAAGGUUUAAUGGGUUACAUUUAAUGUUAUUUAUUGGAUUUUAAUCUUGAAUUUUUAAGUUAAAAUAAAAAGGAUUUAAAGGUAAUUUUUAUUAUUUUAUAAAAAUGAUUAUAGCUCUAAAUUAUGUACACAUCGCCCGUCACUUUCAUUAUUAAGGUGAAAUAAGUCGUAACAAAGUAAUUUUACUGGAAAGUGGAGUUGGAAUUAU